Molecule: transfer RNA, 90 nt
Filed under: Candidatus Regiella insecticola
Lineage: Bacteria; Pseudomonadati; Pseudomonadota; Gammaproteobacteria; Enterobacterales; Enterobacteriaceae
Also listed under: 2 other names
Description: tRNA-Ser
Rfam family: tRNA
About the family: Transfer RNA (tRNA) molecules are approximately 80 nucleotides in length. Their secondary structure includes four short double-helical elements and three loops (D, anti-codon, and T loops).
Source: RNAcentral
GGAAGCGUGCCAGAGCGGUUGAAUGGAUCAGUCUUGAAAACUGACGAGGAUGCAAGUCCUCCGUGAGUUCGAAUCUCACCGCUUCCGCCA